GAUGAACGCUAGCGGCAGGCCUAACACAUGCAAGUCGAGGGGCAGCAUUUCUAGCUUGCUAGAAGAUGGCGACCGGCGCACGGGUGCGUAACACGUAUGGAACCUACCCUUGUCAGGGGAAUAGCCCGGGGAAACUCGGAUUAAUGCCCCAUAGUAUUUUAUUGUCGCAUGGCAUAAAGAUUAAAGAAUAUAUCGGACAAGGAUGGCCCUGCGAACCAUUAGCUAGUUGGAGAGGUAACGGCUCCCCAAGGCGACGAUGGUUAGGGGCCCUGAGAGGGGGAUCCCCCACACUGGUACUGAGACACGGACCAGACUCCUACGGGAGGCAGCAGUGAGGAAUAUUGGACAAUGGGCGAAAGCCUGAUCCAGCCAUGCCGCGUGCAGGAAGACAGCCCUCUGGGUUGUAAACUGCUUUUAUACGAGAAGAACCCCUACUACGUGUAGUAGGCUGACGGUAUCGUACGAAUAAGAACCGGCUAACUCCG
RNAcentral lists this ribosomal RNA (485 nucleotides) under uncultured Flavobacteriaceae bacterium. Its description in RNAcentral is "bacterial SSU rRNA". It matches the Rfam family "Bacterial small subunit ribosomal RNA", at positions 28 to 505 of the family's 1533-position model. The record is from RNAcentral. Lineage: Bacteria; Pseudomonadati; Bacteroidota; Flavobacteriia; Flavobacteriales; Flavobacteriaceae.